RNAcentral lists this ribosomal RNA (253 nucleotides) under uncultured bacterium. RNAcentral describes it as "partial 16S ribosomal RNA". It matches the Rfam family "Bacterial small subunit ribosomal RNA", at positions 524 to 776 of the family's 1533-position model. The record is from RNAcentral.
UACAGAGGGGGCAAGCGUUAUUCGGAAUUAUUGGGCGUAAAGAGCUCGUAGGCGGUUUGUUGCGUCGGCUGUGAAAUCCCGAGGCUCAACCUCGGGUCUGCAGUCGAUACGAGCAAACUAGAGUGUUGCAGGGGAGACUGGAAUUCCUGGUGUAGCGGUGAAAUGCGCAGAUAUCAGGAGGAACACCGGUGGCGAAGGCGGGUCUCUGGGCAACAACUGACGCUGAGGAGCGAAAGCGUGGGGAGCGAACAGG